CCUACGGGAGGCAGCAGUGAGGAAUAUUGGUCAAUGGACGCAAGCCUGAACCAGCCAUGCAGCGUGCAGGAUGACUGCUCUAUGGGUUGUAAACUUCUUUUAUACGGGGGUAAAGUGAGGCACGUGUGCCUGUCUGUAAGUAUUGUAUGAAUAAGGAUCGGCUAACUCCGUGCCAGCAGCCGCGGUAAUACGGAGGAUCCGAGCGUUAUCCGGAUUUAUUGGGUUUAAAGGGAGCGUAGGUGGUUGGUUAAGUUAGUGGUGAAAUCUUGAGGCUCAACUUUGAAAUUGCAAUUGAUACUGUCAGGCUAGAGUGCAGUGGAGGUAGGCGGAAUGUAUGGUGUAGCGGUGAAAUGCUUAGAUAUCACGAAGAACACCGAUUGCGAAGGCAGCUUACCAAGCUGCCACUGACGUUGAGGCACGAAAGCGUGGGGAGCAAACAGGAUUAGAUACCCGUGUAGUC
Molecule: ribosomal RNA, 460 nt
Filed under: uncultured bacterium
Lineage: Bacteria
Description: partial 16S ribosomal RNA
Rfam family: Bacterial small subunit ribosomal RNA
Source: RNAcentral